This is a long non-coding RNA of Raphanus sativus (radish), 632 nucleotides long. RefSeq lists it as uncharacterized. NCBI's taxonomy places the organism in Eukaryota, Viridiplantae, Streptophyta, Magnoliopsida, Brassicales, Brassicaceae. The record is from RefSeq and is a predicted model, not a curated record. The transcript is spliced from 3 exons.
AAAAACACUCCUUACGAGUUGAUAGUUUCUCAUUCCUCUCCAAAUCUAAAGUAAUUAAAGAAGAAGAAGGAUGGCCAACACUUUUGUGAGGUCUGGUUAUAUUCUUGCUAUUCUGUUUGCUAUCGUCGUUGCAGCUACUGGAAACAGAUUGUAUCCGAAGCCUCAGCUGAACGGUGAACAAGUUGACCAUUCCAUCCUCCACUCUGCCUUGUCACUAACAGGAGGACCACUAUACGGUACAUGUUCGUACUACCAAUUCGUUUAUGACUGCAACGAUUGCAACAAAAAGUGCAAACAAAAUAACAGCAACUGGUGGGGACAGUGUACUAUGUGGCCGUUCCGUGAUUGCUACUGCUAUUACAACUGUUGAUAGCCAAAUCAUGAUCAUAUAUAAAUCUAUAUAUUACUCAAGUUUGUGACAAGAAAAAAGACACGGAGAGUAUUUUCCGUAUGUCAAAUCCUCGUAUGUGCUUGCUGUGUGUUUUGGAUGCUUUUCUAUUUUACCAUGUUUGAUAAUUAUUCUGUAUGUUUGUUUGUUUCUCUUGAGUUCGUUGUAAUGCAGGGUUCUUGUUGAUGUUUAAUGAGUACCUUUAUGCAAAUAAUUUCUUUUAUAGAUCUUUAAUCGGUUAGUA